ACAAUGAUGUGAUGAUUUAGGUUCUCUGGCGUAUUGUGCAUGCCAUGAUUGAGGAAUCAACGAUCCAUCGAGGCGAGGCUAUCUAUAUAGUACUGGAAUAGGGGCAAGCCCGGCACACUUAAAGCCAUUCCAACAAUCUUAUUCGUCGUAAGCCCUUCUAGCAGGAGCUGAGUAAAGGUCCGCUCAAGGCCAUGGAAAGGCAGAUAGUACUUGAUACAGGACGAGCCCAGUCUCUAUCUAGUACGAUAUUCUGGUAUGUUUCACUGAAUUGGCAUUUCUAGAUACCAAACAAGUAAAAAACAGCAAGUUAGUUAGCUCAGUUGGCAUAGGCGAAAAAAAGAAAAGGAAUCAACGAUAAAUCGGGGAAAGAGCCGCAAGCGCGAUAUCAUCUCUAUAUAGGAAAAAUGGAUUUUUCUUAUUUUAUAAAGUUAUGGGACCCUGGCUUUAAAAUCUUUCUUUUUUCUCGGCUCGAAAGAGAAAAAUCAAAGUCAGGUAGCCGACGAAAACCGAAAUAGCACAGAUACAAAGUAAAGAAAGUAUACACGCGAUAAUAGAUAGAUAUAUAUUAUAUAUAAUGUUAGAAGGAGCUAAAUCAAUAGGUGCCGGAGCUGAACUCGUAUUCAGAGAUGGAGGAAAUCAAGUCUCAUGUUGCUCCUCAGAAAAUGCGUAUAGUAUAUAGUAAUAGUAAUAGUAAUAGUAAUAGUAAUAGUAAUCUCAUUGGCCCACUAGAUAAGGAUGGGACAAACGCUCUAGUGUAUGCGAAACGAGCAUUGCGUUUUGUCCGAGAAGUUCGUGAAAGAGUGCUCGUUACAUCAAAAGAGAUGGCGAUGAUCUGUCAAAUCGACAUUGUGUCGGUGUUCAGUCUCCCGCUCCUGUUCUCAACUAUACUAUGGCUUUCGUUACUAUACUAUGGCUUUCGUUGGGUAGAGCACGGGAGAAUAAAGUCUAUAGUGUAUGCGUUACUGUACUGGGAAGCUAGCAUUUUUGCUUGUCAUGGAAUCAAGUCUAUUUGUUCGAAUGUUCUUUUUUUCGUUUCGUUGGAAAAACCAACGCCGACGUCAAGAAUGGAUCAGUCUAGUCUCCUUUCUCUUUUGGGAGCAGAGCUGAAAAAGAUGGAAUUGUCAAGUACGAUGAUAUUUUUAUUAACGGAUAGAAAAAUGCUAUUAUCAAGUAGUAAACCCAUUAUGAUUGCAACUCGUGGGAUGCCUGGAAUCCCACUAAAUCGAGAAUCGGAAUCGGUGGAGGAUGUGCAUAGGGUACUCCGAGCCCUCCCCUUAUUUAGAGAAAUGGAAGGUAUCUUGCGUGAGAGGAACCUGAAUCUCCCGUCAGUACAGGAAAUAAGCGCUUUCCGUGUGAAUCUAUUCUCUGGUAUCCGGCGUGAGAGUGCGAUUGCGGACUACGACGCUUUUUGGCGCUCCUUACUCGAGGAGAUUCACACACCUCAGGGACGUAGUUGUUUUGGUCAGAGAAUACAAGAUCUGCACGCCCGAAUGUCUGCCGAGGGCAACUGGGACUACUUGAUUGCCCAACAAGGCAGAGGGUAUUUUGGUAACCUACCUAAUCUCAACAGCCCGUUGGAUCAAUAUCAAUUUGGAAUUCACCCAAUUCUGGAUCUGAAUAUUGGUGAGUACUAUGUCUCAUUCACAAAUCUAUCCUUGUCUAUGCUACUCACUCUCGGUUUGGUCCUACUUCUGGUGCUGCCAAUGAUUCUUCGUUCAUUAGAAUGUCGAUUCCUCACAAUCGCUCUUUGUGAUGCUGCGGAACCAUGGCAAUUAGGAUCUCAAGACGCAGCAACACCUAUGAUGCAAGGAAUCAUUGACUUACAUCACGAUAUCUUUUUCUUCCUCAUUCUGAUUUUGGUUUUCGUAUCACGGAUGUUGGUUCGCGCUUUAUGGCAUUUCAACGAGCAAACUAAUCCAAUCCCGCAAAGGAUUGUUCAUGGAACUACUAUCGAAAUUAUUCGGACCAUUUUUCCUAGUGUCAUUCCAUUGUUCAUUGCUAUACCAUCGUUUGCUCUGUUAUACUCAAUGGACGGGGUAUUAGUAGAUCCAGCCAUUACUAUCAAAGCUAUUGGACAUCAAUGGUAUCGGAGUGCGCCUCUUAACGAGGGUGAUUUAAGUGCAACGAAAUGUACCGGUGGUUCGCGAAGCAUCUGGCUUACCGGUCAUCUCCCAUUCCCGUCGUCGAGAGACUAAAAGAACUAUAGCAUGCCAGAAACGGGGAGUUGAGGUGGUUAGACCUAUACCCCGAAAUGCUCCCAGCAUAGGAGCCUAUGGUUCCAUUCUUGUUAUUGCUGGAGGUACACAUACCUCUUCUCGGUGUGGUGGAGCGAUAUACGAAAAAUAGAUGCUAAGCCCGCAAUGUCCGAUAACGGGGCUUCAGUAGUGAAUCUAUCGGCACCACAGCAGUGGCAUACAACUUUGGACCUAAGGGCCGGCCCCGUUACCUUUCGGAAUGGGGGAUCCCCGUUGGCAACAACCACGGUAGUAGUUGCGGAACUACUGGGCCAAGAGAGGACAACCUGUUGUUCCUGCUCCUCCUUCUUCGCUUCGGGGACGGAGGUCCUACGGUAGGUAAGAGCACGCACAAGCACUUGGCCGAAGGGGACCAGCGCUUCUACUCCUCCACCGAGGAGCCGUUCUUGCGAGAAGCAAGGGAUGUCGUGAACGGUGGGAGGUCAAAGAAAGAGAAUUGACCUCUGAAUACAGUGAUCCUAUGAUCUAGAUAGACUCCGUCCUUUUUUUUUAGAUAAGGGUGACUCAAGAGGGGGGAGAACUACCUAACUAAAGAAGAAUAGCGCUCUUUAAAAAUAAGAGUAGGCGUGGAGAGCUUUUUGCGGGGAAACUUGCAAGUCAAGUUUGGGGGGAGGCGGGCGUCGACCCAACCUUAUGAGUAUUCGGACUAUAACAGUUCCGAUGAACAGUCACUCACUUUUGACAGUUAUACGAUUCCAGAAGAUGAUCCAGAAUUGGGUCAAUCACGUUUAUUAGAAGUUGACAAUAGAGUGGUUGUACCAGCCAAAACUCAUCUACGUAUGAUUGUAACACCCGCUGAUGUACCUCAUAGUUGGGCUGUACCUUCCUCAGGUGUCAAAUGUGAUGCUGUACCUGGUCGUUCAAAUCUUACCUCCAUCUCGGUACAACGAGAAGGAGUUUACUAUGGUCAGUGCAGUGAGAUUUGUGGAACUAAUCAUGCCUUUACGCCUAUCGUCGUAGAAGCAGUGACUUUGAAAGAUUAUGCGGAUUGGGUAUCCAAUCAAUUAAUCCUCCAAACCAACUAAACCGGGGAAGCUGAAGCGGAAAUGCAAUUCUCGGGUGAGGGAAGGCUUCGCUCGCUCGCUCAAAAAGCUCUAACGCUCGUUUACGAGUGGAGUGCAUAAGCCCUUAUUGAAGUAGGGCGAGGCCUUACUACACGAGCUCGUAAGUAAAGCACGGAACGAGCCUUGUCUACGAAGCUUCGCUUCAUCAUCUUGCUUGCUUCUGCUCGUAAGUAACGUACCACUCUUCUUGUCUUCUCUUUGAAACCGUCGAUCAAUCCUUAUCAAGAAAGAGAGAUUUUAAGAACUACCUCUACCCACAAGAUAAAGAUAUUGGUUAUUUCCGGCUUUCCUUUAGGAAACAGAAGCAUGAGUGAAGUAGUACGAUACCAGGAAAAACCACAGAAACGUAUGAUCCAAGGAAUGCUAGAAAGUGCCAGAACUGGCUAUGCAUAAAGAAGACCGAGCCGGAGCAUCUAGAUGAGAUUCCACCAGAGCAGACUUCUCCGCCCCCGGAAGAAAGAAGGAUUUCCAAUCAAACCCAGAGGAUCAUCACCAGUCAACCGCAAGGAAAGGAAUAGUACUAGUUCCGUCUCCCCUAUAAAAGUAGGCAACCCUAUUAUUCGGUCAAUCAAGUGAUUAAGUAUGAUUCAUUUCUGAGCGAGCGUCGAAUAUACAAAACUUUCCAUCUCCACCGACGGCAGAUUUCUAUCUUGCCAUUUCAAUUUGGCUCUAUGAGAAGCUUGUAUCUCCGAUUGGGACUUGUCUUCCCAGUAAAACAUCACAGGGCCCACUCCUCUUGCAUUUGACCCUCUCUUCCUGCAAGCUCCAACUUCUAAGGUUCAGUGAAUUAGAUAGUUCUCCGUCUAUCUCUUUUUAGAUUUGAUGUAAAUCACGGAGAGUUCAUUGCGAAACUCUUUAGUCCGAUUUUCUUAGAGCAUAGAAAAGGUAUAAGUAAGUCUGUGUACUCGAGUCAAAUAGCAGGACUAGUUCUGGCUUCUCUAUCCCGGAUAAGAGAUUCAACAUAGCUUCGCCUGCCUUCGUGAUUGCUUGUGUAAUACAGAAAGAAGAAAAAGAGCUGUGGGAUGCAAGUCGAACUAGACUGAAUGUGCCAGGCUUCUAUUUAUCAGGGCCACAAGUAGAAAGUGAGUGGAGGCAAAUGUUGCAUGCAAUUGACUCAGAUGUCCCUCCAAGUUUUCCAUGGAACCAAGGUCAUAAAAAGAUGUAUCUAGAGUGGGCGUCGGUUGACUUUUCUUUUAUGGGUGGGUCAAACCUAGCCUAGACGAACGAGUGGAUAGAAGCAAGGCUAGCCGCCCUAGUGCUUCUAACUCAUUGGAACACGCAUGGACGGAGUGCCAGGGAAGAAAACCGGAGAGUUUCGGCUUUGGUAUGAGCUGCUUUGAAUCAAGAAUCAGUUUGGUUGAGUUUUGAAUGCGCCAUGAAUAAGAAAAAUGACGGGGCAUAAAUGCUUCGUACACGUACACCUUAGAGAAGGAGAGCGGGGUAAAAAGCAGCCAGCCAAAACAUGUCAAGAGUCGUAUUUUUAUACAGAUAGAUAAGUAAAAGAAGCCGGAUGUCGAUUUCUUUCGCCUAAUCUUUUCCUCUACUUCCAGUACCCUAGCCCACAGUCAAUCCCACACUUCUGUUCGUUCACUUCCCCUAUCUUCUGAAUGCCGGAUUAGGAUGAUCGCAUUUAGAAAAGAUGCCUUUUCACUUGAAAUCCGAGACUUGACUUCUACACCAACGCAAGAAGAAACCUUCCGUACUUUGGCGCAAGUGAAAUUACCAAUGAAGGUGAAUCUAUCAGAAAGACAAUAACGUGUUGACCAGAAUUGACUGAUUGAAUCGAUUCUUCUUUCCCACUGAUUCUAUAUGAGAUCCAAAUCGAGUCACCUUUUCCAAGGCUGCUUUGAUUCGCUCUUCUACUACUCAUACUCAUACUCAUUGCAUUGUUGUUUGUAUAUGAAAGGCUAUAGAAUGACAUAGUUGAUCGAGAUGUGCGCCUGCGAAGAAUGAACUCUCCUCGUUCUACAUGAGUCGAUUCUUUCUCUACCUACCUCAAAUUCAAAGGAGAUCUGGGUAAAAUAGUUUCUCGGACUACAGUGAGAGAAGUGGAUCUUCUCGUUCCCAGGCGGCGAGGGUCAUCGGUGCGCCUCCACCUCACCUAAAGGAAGAAGUUAUUUCAUCUAUAAACCUAGUAUCUACCCGAAUCAGCAGAAUUUCUGUAAGGCUUACCGAAAUGGAAGAGAGGUCUAGACACGGGUUAUUGGUGAUCGACUAACCAAAUCUGCUCACUUCCUGCCUAUCAAGAAAACGGAUAAGCAGGGUAAGUUGGCCUAAUUGGUAGAUAAAGAAAUAUUGAGGCAGGAUUUGGAUUUAGAGAAUCAAAAAGCAAUCAACCAUCCCCAAACAAAGUGCUGCUGGAGGGAAAUGCUAAAGUCCCAUUCCGAAUUCCAUUAAGGUUGUAUUCCUACUAAGAAACUCUGGGCUAUACUCUACAUCCCAUCCCAGCUCGUAAGUAAUCCUAUUUCUGUAUUAGCCUUUGAACAGCAUGGGCCAUGAAAGGACCGGAGAAGGAAUGCAGUAGGAUGAUUCUAUCUUUCCUAUGUAUGGGGCACACGAUUCUCUUUCCAUACACUAGUAAAAAUCCAGAAUAGGGCGAGGGUACCUAAAUAUCCAUCCAGAGCGAGUAGCGAUUCUUUUACUUACUACUUUUUGAAAGAUUACACCUUCGACUAUCUCUAAGCACGCAUGUCCCACUAUCUAUAUGUGAGAACAGGCUGUAAGCACGCAUGCCCCUCCUAUCUAUGAAAGAGAACAGGAAUUCCCUACACCAACAUAUCUAGCGAGGGAAAUAACUCCUUCCAAUCUACGAAAAGAGGGCACUACGAAAGCUAAUUAGUCAAACCAGCACCAAAAUAGCGAGUGAGUAACAAGCACUAUUUCGACCAUACUCUCUUGUCCUUAGAUUAAUACUAUUUCUUUAGCAGUCAACUCACUAUUUGCACUCCUUGCAUUCCAUGAGCUUUUCUUUCAUUUCAAUAGUAAGCAGGAAAUGCGAAUAAGAGAAGGGUAGAAGAAGCGAUCUGCGCAUUUCUUUAUUUCACAACGGACGUUAGAUAAAUCAUUUCUUAGGUAUGCUACAUUCUUUGAAGAAAGAGUAGGUUAUUACAUUAUGUCUAGUUGUUGAACAGGGCCCUUGCUUAAAAAAGAAAUAGUUAGAUUAUAUUAUGCCCAUGCUUUAUUAACAACACAAGUGAAGAUAAAUAGUAGUAAGUAAGCUUUCUACCACUAGUAGUACUAGUACUAUGGUUGCUUUCUACCACUAGUCGUUGAAUCUUCCUAUUCCACUUACAGUACCCCUGGGUGUCCAAUGGUUAGGACCAGAUGUAAGCUUGUAUCAACAAGUUUUGUAUAAGAUUAUGAGAUGUAGUUGAAACAAAGCUUUGCUCCUCUCAUAGUUUUGUUGUUUCCUAUUGUUUUGCUUCCUUCAAUUACCCAACAACUGGUAUCAGAGCACACUAACACUAGGAACCUUCACGGUAAGGGAUUAUUAGACCACUAUGAACACUUGUAAUUGGUUCAUUCUACUUCAGGCAUGGUUCACUCUAGUUAGUGGAAGAGUGUACAACAUAGGGAUUGGUAUCAGUCACACAUUUAGGAAAUAAAGUAAAAAGCCUCCUAUUCCAAUCAAGCAAGAAGUUGUCUGUACCGCCCUAGCAUGUUAAUAAAUACUCUUUAUCUAAAAAAUAAAUUCCUAGAAGAAAAUAAAAUCUAUUAGCAUUUAGUGACAGCAGCAUAGCUUUCCACUUUAUGAUGGUAUCUUAUAUCUUACAGUGCCUAGAUGCACUGUGAUCUUUGUGUUGUAUGAGUGAUCUUCUUUAGCUUGCUUCUUCAAUCCCUCUAUCCAGUCAUCAUCUGCAUAGCUUUGCUGCAGUUCUUGCACCCACUGUGGUAAUAGCUCAUAAAUGGCAGCUACUCCUGCAAAAAAUUGACUUAUUUGCCCGCAGCGGGCCUAAGCCUUUAUUGUCUUAUAAGAUCACUUACCAAAGGAGUCUUUUUACCUGCUUGCUUAUUAGAUAGAAAGACAACCAGAUGUUGUAGUGUGCGCUCUUGGUCUUCUCUACGUGUACAUGGACAAUUGAGGUGUUGUCUUUUGUUCCGUCAGUCUUGCUUGUAACACAGUGAGUGUAUAUGUUUCUCAUUUCCGUAGAAAGAACUACCAGCCAGGAGAUGAGACUCAAAGUGCACCCUUCUCAGACAUAGGAAAGCUCAAUCUCUUAAAGACAUAGCAUUGAAAGAGUGAGUAAGAAGCAUUGACUUAAUUUCUUUCACAACCAAGGCCAGAAGACAACACAACUGUCUAUCAUUUCUCUGGGAGAGGUCAAUGCAGCCUCGGAAAAAAGAAGAAAAGGCUAUUCCUUAGACACAGAGGUGGGAUUAAGGCGUCAUGCGGAACUCCAACAACAUAGACCAGAUGACUUAUUGAAAAUAGGUUGAGGAGCCUGAUCCUGGAGCUGAGCAAGCAUGGGCGCGAUCCACAUCGAGUGGAACUACUAUAACUAUAGCUAGUGGAAGUACCAUCCAUUCCGCAGUGGGCGGACGUUCUUUUCAAUCCUAUGAAGCUCAUCAGUAUUUCUGUCAACAAUUCUGUAGUAUGAUGGCUGUUGGUCUUAAUUUGAGUCAACUUAAAUGAAUAGAAAAAGGAACCAAAGACUGAGCAACUACUUCUAGAAUGAUGUUAUAGAAAAUACAAGACACAGUGAUCCUCAUCCGGCAUAAUAGCAGUACAUGAAUUCCACCCAGACGAAAUGGACUGACUCUCUAUGGAUCUCAACAUAAAAAAAAAGAAAGUGCUUAUCCAUCCUUGGAAGAACUAGCUCCCUCCCUGUCUUUGUCGGAACUUGAAUCGAGGUAGGCAAAAGAAUCCUUACUCGGAACGAGCCCAAGAUAAAGGGUCUAGUCCAAUUUGAGUCUUGGUUGUACAUCGGUACUACGCACGGUAGGCAUUUCUUCCAGUUAUCGGGACUUGCACUUGCUUUUUCCGGCCUUAGUGGUAUUUCAAUGAUUUUAUUGCCCUAGCCCCGUCCUUCCAUCAUAGCUUAGUUAGCUAGCUAGCUACUUCAUUUUGUGCUAAAGCCCCUCGAUACAUAAGUGCUCUCAUUCCUAGAACCCACCCGGGGCGAGUUGGUAACCGUAAACCAUUGAUCUACGAAUUCAAGUGAAUGAAAAUGUAGAUAGAUUUUUGCCUACUUCUGUAACAUAACUUCUCUACGGAUAAGCUUCAACUACUGAAUGAAGAGAUAGUGAGACCUACCUAGCAACGAGAAAUACUAGAACUUAAAUUCCUUGCCUUGACUCGCCUACUUCUCCAGUCUUUGAGCUUUCCUGGCUUUCGAUUCCUAUUCGUCUGAUGUGUUGAUGCUUGAGAAGAAGCUUUGGCACUGACACCUUACUUUCUUUCGCAUAGGGCUUUAACAGAUAAACUCUUUACAAUACUUUAUGCUGUAAAACAAGAGGAAGAAAAGAAAGGAUCCAUGAUGUGCAUGUGCCUUUUGGUCUUGUACCAACGCUCUUUAAUAACGAGGCUUUCCAUUCCAGCUUCUGGGAUGCUUCAUAGCGAGGUAAGAUCUAACUCCCUGGGUGGAUUUGUAUUCCUCUUCACUCAUUCUAGUCCUUAACUACUUGCUCGAUAAAAGCUAUCCGCUUUGACAGUUACUUCUUCAAGAAUCCGAACCUACUUUUCUAUGGCUAAAAAGGCCCCGAAAUGGCGUGCUGCCAUGCUGGAUGAGAUGGAGUCAAUGAAGAUAAAUAAGGUUUGGGACUUAGUUUAUUUACUGCCAGGGCUAUUAGGUAGCUUGGUAAGGGAUAGGCCGCAGGUUUGUGAAACAUAGGAGUAGAGGGGUAGGCAUUUGGAUCGGAACUGGUAGGAAGCAAUGGAAUAGGUCAGUAAAAUAGGACUACUAGUAAAGGCACGUUAUUCGCUAAGAAUAGUUUCGUGAUAGGUUUUUCUAAAUAGGAAAUUUGAUCGGCUUAACUGAGUUUAUUAUGGAUCGUUGCCUGUUGAGUGGAAGGAUUCCUAGUACCAUAGGUAGACUUAAACGCAACGUUUUGUUGAAGUUGAACUUUUUUAAAAAUUGCUUUUAAGGUCCAAUUCCUUUAUCUGUUGGUAAUCUAACGAAUCUCUCUGAAGUUCACAUGGGAGAAAAUUCACUACUACAUACCUAACGCAUCUACAAGUGUAGAAAGAACUCUUACUAUUCAUAACGGUCAAGUACCAGUCCUGCAACUCAUAAUGGUCAAGUACCAGUCCUGCAACCCGCUUCAACGUUCUAAGGACCACAAAUGAUAAGAUCUGAUACCUGUAAUUCCAAUUCUCGUAAUCUUUGAUGAAUCUCCAUAAUCUUUAGAGAUUCUUGUGGUGUACCCCUCCCGUGUUAUCAUUCACAGCUUCGUAGGGCAAGGCAAGUUCACCAUCUCUCUGAGAAAGAGGAGCGUAAGAAAAGGAGGUUCUUUUCCCAUCUCUUUUUGGCAAUGGGUUAAGGAAUUUAGGGCUGGAAGAGAUCUCAGAGUGGAUUGGGCAGCAUUAAUGGCAUGAGCACAACUGUGAUCUUGAUCUCCUCGCGUCGGCUUCUUGCUCUCUUUCACACAGUCUUCUCAAGUCACUAAUGGCACAACAACAGGAACGAGUACACAAUUGAAUAAAAAAGGGAAUUCACAAUAAGGUGGCAAGAUCCUUGUCCGUGGCAAAUCUAUGUUGUUGGCUAUUGUCUUUUCGUAGGAAAUAAUCAUCAACUAUGAGAAUUCCCUAAGUCUACAAGGGAAAUCAGGGCAACUGGGAGAGGAAAGAUCUUAAGGUUGAGGCUGAUUGGUGUCGAAAAAGGUUAUCCACUUUUGGCUACUAUUACUUCUCUAAUCUAAAUAAAGAACGUCGGGGCUUUCUGGUGAUUUCUAUAUAAUAAAACACUUUGAGAACUUGACAUAGAGUCGGUGAUCCUGCUUUCAUUGCAACACAAUUCGGAGGUCUGGAAUGUAAUUAAACCAUUACUUUAGCUUCGUAAAUAAGUUUACGUACGGUGAGCUGUCUGGGAAUCCAUACAAGAUCGGAGUACCCACAAGACUUGCUAAUUUACUGAGAGCGCUUCUCGUCUACAUGCGCAGAGGCAAGUUGGGGGAGGGUGAUCAAGAGGAAAAUAGUCUCUAGCCGAUCAUUCUCCUGCCAGAUUUACUUGGACCAUUUAAUUUAGUAGAACUAUGCCCUAGAGUGACUAUGCUGUGCGCUUUCGAGAAGAUUCAAACCUAUCUGUUUGAUUUUCCGGUCUUGGUACUGUUAGUUUUUCAGGGAAGAUCACUCUUGCUAUACCUCUCGCUCACGAAACAUUCCAUAGGAUGCGAGUAGCGGUACAUUAUAUUAUAGGCAGCUUCAGUGUUUUGAUAGAACUCAAGCGGUUGAUAUAGCUAAGGAAAACCAUAAGAGUGAGGGAUUGAAUUUCCAUGUAGGAGUAUUGGCUUUGGCAAGCAAGUCAAGGACAAAAGAAGAGGAUAUUCAAAGUUCCCUGAGUUUGAUGGUAGUAAGUUAGAUGUCACAAAUAGGAAUUCAUGGCCGCAUGUAUGUGCUAAAAGAAGAUCAAAAACCGAACCGGGGAAUCACUUACACUUAAUAAGAAAUUCUAACUAUCUAUUGUUCAAAACUCAAAGUACCACAGAAGAAAUAGAAUGAAAUGGUUAACUAAGAAUGAGAGAAUGAAAAAGCUGAGUAAUAAACAAGGAUUGGUUUGCUAUUUAUGAUGACGAAGAGCUGGUACAAGCCUCCUUCAGGAAAUGACCCUGCGAUGAAUGCAAUCUACAUUCUUCCAAGAUGGUAUAUGACAGAAAGAAAGUGGUGCGAUGAAUUAGUAUCAUUUACUAGUCAUUCUAAAACCGUUCCAAUUCAUUUCACAUUUCAUUACCUAGAGCCUGAGAGGGGUCACUGCUGAGAGGGUUCAUACUAUACCUAUUACUAUGGAUUGGAUGCGGAUGCUUCAUCUAGCGCAUACCAAAUAAAGCCAGCCGGGUAUCAUAGGAGACAGGGGAAAAAGCACUUUCAAAUGACUAAAAACUCCGAAUCAUCUGAUUGAUUCAAAAAUGUUAGUAGUAAUUGAAUUGCGUAGGGAACCCUUUCAAAGCUUCUGUUUCAUAGUCUACCGAGUAGCAGUUCCAGCAUUAUCCGAAUCAGCAUUGCGCCAGAAUCCAUUCAACCAAGAAAGGCGUAAGCGCUAGCUGAUCUGAAACGAAAUAAAAUAGUUCUUUCCAUUUUCCCAGCCGGAAAGCCCUGGGACGGCAUAUGUGACAUCAAGUUGACGCAUCCAUCCUCUGGACCAAAAAAGAGGAGUUUGCCGAACAGAACAAUAGUUCACUGCCAGAUAUCUUUUCUAAUCAAUCAGCAAGGAAUUGAUAGAGAGAGAGAGCCCUGCGAAAGGAGUAGCUUCCAGCAUCCUCCCUUGACAGUGACUUUCGGAGACUUGUCUAUAAGUAAGUCCAUUUCUUCUUGUGGGACAUCGAGAGACUUUCCUCUCUCUCCGAUUGCAACUAAUAUCAUCCUAUCUUUCCUCUCAAUUAGACCAAUCAGAAAGAUUCCCUAUCUUAUGUCAUUGGCUGGAGAAGAUUGAUAGAUAGGCUAUCAGUGCACUCUUCUGGGUGGGACCAGAACUUCCUACUCGUUCUCGCACCCCAGCGCUAUGCUCCAGGCGCAUCUUGGCACUCAAUUGGAAUGAGUCCGAAGAACACUUGCCCCCCUCACCGGCUUUGUCAGAUCUGUCUUUCGGCUGGACAGCUUCCGCUGCUACUUUGAUAUUUACUCCGACGCUUGUUCCUAGAUAUAAAAAGAAGUACUUUAGUCUACGAGUAUUAGGUGGCACUGCUGCUUUCUUUGCUAGCUCACCCGAAACUCUGUCUUCAGGAGGAAGAGACCAGCGUCCAUAUGGACGACGACGACUGGAACACCCUCUCGCCCAUCCAAGAGAUCCCAUCUCCUCACUUACCAGAGGAUGAUGAAGGGAGGCAAGAUGGGCAUGGGCCAACUCCACCCACGGCUUCUUCCAGCCACCUUCCGGUAGAGGUAAGAGAAGGAUCGCGAAGAAGGAAAACUGCAGAUCAGGCAGAGGAAAGACACAUACGCCCCCGCCUUAAUGAAACAAAACAACAGGAGUACAGUUAUGGUGAGAAAGAGUUCUCAAAUAUUGAUAAAAUAAAAAGAAAAGAAAGAAGAGAACGAAAGGAGAACAGAACUUUGUAUUUGGUAACUCUCCUGUAGUUAUGUUUAACCUUGAAUGCAAUUUAUAAAUUCGACAGCAAUAGUCCCUCGGACUCUAAAAGUAAUAACGAAAAUGGCUAAUCCAAUAGCAGAUUCCGCAGCUGCCACUGUUGGAACUAAUGAAGCAAAUGAUUGACCCAUCAUAUCAUCCAAAGAAACGGAAAAUACCAAAAAGUUCAAAUUGACAGCUAAUAACAUUGAUUCAAUUGGCAUUGACAUAAUAAGAAUAUUUCGUCUAUUAAGGAGGAUUCCCCGAAUACCUAAAAUAGAGAUGAUCAUAGAAAAAGUGAAAUAUUUUAUAGGAUCCGUUUCGGAAACAUGGAAUGUCAGAGAAAUUCAAAUUAUGUAAGGCUUAGAAAGAAGUCCUGCGUAGAGUCCAGGGAGAGCCUAUUUUUCUUUUUUCUCUAGUUACCCUCUCAAACAACGCGUUUGAUUUCCUUCCUUAUAUAAAAUUCCAUCUUUCUCUUGCCGAUCACAUCCAAUUUCGUCGGAAUACAUCCUGUCUUUUCACCAUAUGAUAUGAUAUGAUAUGAUAUGAUAUGAAUAGUAGUCCUAUGCAUUACCCAAAAUAGAUUCUAUGAACCCGAUUCUUAUCCGCUAUUGAAUGAUUUAUCUCCGAAUUAGUCCUUCCUCUCUAGUCCUCUAGAAAUCGGGCUUCCUCGCUUAGUAGCUCCUUUAGUUUCCUACUAUGUGGGGAUUUUGAAGAUGGGCUUGCAGCGGAUUCAACCGAUCGAUUCGCCGUGGCAUAUAGAGAUGGGCGAAGCAAAAAAGGUGUUUUCAUGUUCCAUUACAAAGCCAACCCCCGAGGAAGAAAGGUAAGUUAGAAGCAUACCAGGAUAUAUACUCAUAGUACCUUCCAUACUUAUCUCCGGUAGAACUAACAAAAUAGAAAACUAUGACUAGUAGACUCAUACGAAUGCUCUCCUUCUCCUAGCGACGCUUCGCGCCUACUUGCCUCAGUUGAUGGAUGGCCAAAGUAAAGUGCCCACUGCCUUUUUUCGGUUGCGGGAUGCUCUGGCACAUAGCUAUUCAGGUCAGGCUAGCCCUAAGACCAUGCUUUUCAUUUCCGUCCUGCCCACUACCAUUAGUUAGGCAUUUAAGCUCAGACCAGCCCAACCUCUUCAUGGUCACAUCCCCUUUUCCGACGCUUUUAUUGUUAUAGACCGCUCACUACCCCUUUCCUUCUCUAUGUAAGACUAAAUAAGGAAAUACAAAGAAUGGAAGAAAGGGCCAAAGCAAUUGUUUGUCUUGCAUUGCAGCAAUCAAACCAAAAUCAAGUAUUAAAGGCUGUUGAAACACUUCUUUUCUUGGGAUGGGAGCUAGGCUACCAAAGCUGUUUCAGUCCCUGCCCAUAAUUCAGCACAUAAGGCAGACCUUGAACCAAGGUUAUACAUAGAUCCUUUGAUCUCCACGGCACUGACUAUACCACCGGCACUCUAGAGGCACAGGGCGAAGAGUAAGCAUCUAACUGAAGUUUGACAACUUGGAAAGAUGGCCCAGCCAAUGUUAAUGAUUCUUUUAUCUGGGAUAACUUGCUGGGAAUUCACUAGAGCUCCUGAAGCCACUUGAUCCUUAUAGAGGUCUAUCAUUUGGUUUGGCUAAAAAGAUCCCUGCGUGCAUUGUCUUCAUUACCCAAAUAGAAAGCAUUCCUGUACCGGCAGUGAAGUUCGUGCUAAAUGACCGAACGAAGGUAUCCGCUUGCGAGUCUGAUCAAAGAGUUGCCGGGUUCAUUAUGCUCUUCUUCCUGAAAAUGGGAAGUAUUAUGAAGUUUAAGUCCUGUGCUGUAGUUAAUUCCCUUUGUCUUAAGUGAUCUAUUAGAGAGCUUCCCUGUGACCGCCCGAAGGGUAAGAAAGAGAUGCUCCGUGUAGCUAACCCCAAGUCUGGUAACCUUUGAAAAUAGGUUUCUGACGUCACUGCCUUUCAUGCCAAGCUUGACGCUCUUGCUCUUGCACAGGCGGUGGGUGGAUCAAUUUGUGUAAACGAUCGCUUUCUUUCUAUGUCUCCCAAUCGAUGCGGUACUGCCAAUCGUAGACUGGUGACCGGGGAAUGAGAGCUCCAUACACCAUGAUUCAUGGAGUCUUUCCUCUCGUUUUUAGGUUGUUUGUGUAUAUACCCAACUGUAGGUCACCUAUGUGACCAAUCCUCACCAUUGGUUUCACAGCACUUAGUAAGCAUACGUUUGAAGACCGAGUUGGUUGAUUUGGUCUGUCCAUUCGCUCUAGGAGGGGCUCGACUUCCUUUGAGCUAUGAGAAAUGGGAGCGCCUUCUUCUUUUUUUUCAGGGAUCUCCUUGGCUACAAAGAGAGCUAUGGAGCCUAGCUGAAAGCUUGACAAGGCCUAUUUAGUGUAUUCGGCCACCCAACCACUCGCAGAAAGAAAGGGGCAUUCAAAACCUGACAGGGAUUCCUUCUCCUAGGGUUGCUCUGAGGUAACCGCUCGUCUUGAUGCUGGCAGUCAAGAAGGCAAAGAGUUGACUUCUACUUUUGAAGUGUAAGGAGUUGACCUUCCUUCGCCUAUCUCGGAUUCUGCUACAGAUUGGAACAAUAGUUCACAUUCGCUUGGGAAUACCAAAUAGAAUGCAGUCGAGACAACCACAAGUAGAGGAACGACCGACACAGCUGGCAUGCCCCCGCAACCUUCGAUCCAUCUAUCUAAACAUCGUUCUACUACAGAACUGAGUUCAUCAUAGCAGCCAGCCUCGGUAAGGUUAACUAGCAACUUGACUCACUGCACUCGAAAAAGAUAGCAAAGCGACAAUCGGUCGGUAUGGGUGGAACCUAGUAUAGCUGCGCUUUCUUUUCUUCUUCUUGGUCUAGUCUAUCUACCCGUCUCUAAGUAAGCCCCUCACCUUCCCUUUUUGGAGUAGAGGUCAGAGGCUAGUGCGGGUAGCCCUGUCGGAAACUAGAAAGAAGAGGCUGAUGCACCUGCCCGGCGGUGGGUGGGUUCAGCUCGAUCAACUGGGAUAGGAGUUUUUUCUCUAUCUUGCUCCAUGGUGUUCAAGCAGUGCGUCCAGAAAGCUGUGAUUCAUGGGAGGGAGCAGCUUCAAUAGCUUUGGCUGUGAAAACUCUUGGUCUUGGAGCAUCAGUGUCAUCAGUUCACCCAAGAUCAGCACAGGACAAAUAACUACUAGGUUUGUGCCAGAAAAGCGUCUUGCGUGACGGGGAAAGAGUGGAAAAAGAAAUAGAUUCAUCAGCUAUGGAAUCUGACAGGUAUCGGUAUUGAACAGAGGGGGCUGUUCACAAAGCAUCCCAUGGUGCGCUCCGAGGAGGGGAAAAAAGAUACCACACACAAUUCUGAAACUCGAAAUCCGUUCCUAGAAAUCCGUGAAAUCAUUGUUCUGGGUCACCUUGGCUUUUGUGUUCCGUAGUGACUAGGGGAAGUUGCCCGGCUUGGUAUCUCUCCUACUUCUUGACCUUGCUUCUCACCAUUAGGGGAUAGAGUCUAGUAGUUCCUCCCAUGCCAAGGAAACUUCUAUCGAUUGGCGCCGUUGGUUGGAAAUUUGCAUAGCAUUCCCACGCCUCGUUCUUCAUCAGCUUGGUGCCGCUUCAAUUACGAGGUCUGUCAGCUUCCAUCUCCCGAUGUUGCUACUCGUAUCCAUUCCUCCCUGGAACCUGUUGCGAAGAGCUUGCAAAGGUGCCAAGGUUGCCUGAAUCGAAUCAAAUAAGAGCUCUGCCUUCUUGACUAGCUAUUCGUGCUGCUCCGCUAGCUGGUGACUUGCCUGUCCCCUCAUACAUACUUACUUAGGUCUAGACCCCUAUUCGCUGACCACCGGGCUCCAUCUUUCUAGUAGCAAGAAAAAGCCUAUACUACUUCUGAUUCCAUACGCAACGCAUACCUCUAGAGUGUAGCAGUGACUUCUUUCUCUCUCUAGUUUAGCAGUGACUUCUUUCUCUCUCGGUGAUCCCUUGGUUGGAUACUAUUUGCAUGUUGACUAGUGGGAAUUCCAGCUAUCCCUUUCCAACAACUAGACAAGUUCGGUGCAUCUAGACUUUCUUUUUGACCGAUAUACUGAACCUAUUCCUUUCAAGCCAACCGAUUCAAACUCGUAGAAUGACUUGACUUUCGAACAAGACUACGGCACUCCUUCCUCGAGAACUGCUUUCGCUUCCAGCUAUUUAAGGCAAGACAAGAGCGGAUCGGCUUUUCCUUGCUACAGAGGAUUGAAGCUCUUUCCACACUGAAGAUCGGAUCCAUUCCAGCUUCACUUCAACCUUGCCAGCUCUAUUGCUGGGAUUCCAGAAGUUAUAUUAAUGGAUUUGCCACCUGGCUCGCUUCAAUGGAUGAGUCGGGCUAGGGUGAUGACUCGGGCUCGGGAGUUUCCAGUGAAGGAAAAGUCUCGUAUUUCUUGAUCUAGUUCCUACCAUUUCUGAUCCGGAUCUAGCUAGAUGAGUAGUUAGUUUGGGAAACAAGGGUGCCGAGCUGAUGUGUUAUCAUAUCAUAUUUGAAAGGAAGUCAGCUAUUGAAUCAGCAACUAGUCUGGUGUUGAUACGCCGCGAUGCCUUUGCUUCACAAAAGACACAGUGAAAGAAGCCCACAUGCCCACUCUUCUUUCCCCCCCUCACCUCAACCGUAUAGUAGAUGGGUUUGGGGGGCCUCGGUUUCCUAUGCCUACACCAGUGAAUUUCUUUACCUCUUCGUACGCUCCCAAUCGCAGAUUUGAAUAAUCAAGUCGGUAUGGGGCUGCUGCCUUUUGUUACUCCGGAAAUAUUGGCUUCGCCUGUACAGAUUUUCUAGGGCCUGGGCGAUUUUUACCCGCUUCUCGGCGCUCGCCGUUUCAAGGUGAAGAUCCUCGUAAGUAGAGCGUAAUGUGCUCUCCCUAGGGUUCCUAUCUCGACAGGACCUUAGAACUGUUUUAAUUCUUUUCUUUAAGAACGCAAUGGAUGGUACUUCAGGUUGCGCCCCAUUUAUGGGCGGCUCUGACUCUUUGCCAUUGGCGUCUUGGCGGGACACUUUUUUCCGCUUAUCAUCAUCCUCAGAAUUAGGCGUAGCGGAAGCACUCGACGAGGCCUCUACGACAGCAUGGGCUCUUCCCCGUUUCUGGCCGGACGAUUCCAUAAAUACUUUGGUCAGAAGUAAGACCAAACCGAGAGUGAGUAGCAUAGACAUAGACAAGGAUAGAUUUGUGAAUGAGACAUAGUACUCACCAAUAUUCAGAUCCAGAAUUGGGUGAAUUCCAAAUUGAUAUUGAUCCAACGGGCUGUUGAGAUUAGGUAGGUUACCAAAAUACCCUCUGCCUUGUUGGGCAAUCAAGUAGUCCCAGUUGCCCUCGGCAGACAUUCGGGCGUGCAGAUCUUGUAUUCUCUGACCAAAACAACUACGUCCCUGAGGUGUGUGAAUCUCCUCGAGUAAGGAGCGCCAAAAAGCGUCGUAGUCCGCAAUCGCACUCUCACGCCGGAUACCAGAGAAUAGAUUCACACGGAAAGCGCUUAUUUCCUGUACUGACGGGAGAUUCAGGUUCCUCUCACGCAAGAUACCUUCCAUUUCUCUAAAUAAGGGGAGGGCUCGGAGUACCCUAUGCACAUCCUCCACCGAUUCCGAUUCUCGAUUUAGUGGGAUUCCAGGCAUCCCACGAGUUGCAAUCAUAAUGGGUUUACUACUUGAUAAUAGCAUUUUUCUAUCCGUUAAUAAAAAUAUCAUCGUACUUGACAAUUCCAUCUUUUUCAGCUCUGCUCCCAAAAGAGAAAGGAGACUAGACUGAUCCAUUCUUGACGUCGGCGUUGGUUUUUCCAACGAAACGAAAAAAAGAACAUUCGAACAAAUAGACUUGAUUCCAUGACAAAACAAAAUGCUAGUUCUAACGAACAGCGUUUGUCCCAUCGACUUUACUUUGGCCAAUGAUACUACUACUACUAUAUACUAUAUACUAUAUACUAUAUACUAUAUACUAUAUACUAUAUACUAUACGCGUUUUCUGAGGAGCAACAUGAGACUUGAUUUUCCUAUAGUCUGGCUACUAUACUAUACUAUAGAACCCUGGGCCAUGUUUCCCGAGAGAGACUGCCUUCUCUCAGGCCAGCAGUCUUAUACUUAUAGUCGACUGCUCUAUGACGAUCUGACCUCUUUCCUGGGCUCUGCUCGCUCGUCUACGCUCCGACCAAUUCAGUCAAAAUCGAAAAAACGAUGUUUCGUCUAAGAAUAAGAAAUAGUAGUAGUAGUAAAAAAGUGCACUUUUUCCAUAUAUUUCGAGGGAUCCCUAUCUUUAUCUCUAUCCACAGAGAUACCUAUCUAUUCUAUUCUAUAUAGAGAGAGAUUUUUCUAAAAAUUGAUCUAGACUAUCCUCUCCUCUAUCCGGAUAGAUAUGUCCCUAUGAGCGACUAGGCCGAUCUUUUUUUAUAUGUUUUGGCCACGUCCGUUUCCGCUCCGAAGAGGAAGGUUUGGAUCUUUCAAUCUUAUGUCGUGAGGGAUGUGACCUAUGUUAGGUCCAUAAGAUACCACAGCUUUUAGUGUUCUAUGAUUCACCUCCGAAUAAUGAGUAGGUAGUUCGAUCCUUUUGAUUCUUAUCUUCCUAGUAAUAGUAAACGGGGAUCCGGAGCAAUAGGUCGAAUUUCUAUAUAAUUUGUUUGUGUAAACAAAAGGGCUUAUUGCUCUUUUUCGGUUUUCGUUUUCCUCGAUAACUUUGAGGAUCUCCUCUACCCCUUCCUCUUCCUCCUUCCUUCUUUUCCAUAAGAAGAAGUAUUUGAAAUGAAACAAAUUCCUCUUCAUUCUGUUGUGCUCAGCGAAGGAACUGCCUAAGCAUACUUUUGCGGAUCCAAACUUCUUUGUUCUUUCUAAGUCUUCUUCUUGCAUAUAAGAACGCAACUCUUGCAAAAACCCGGAUUUUAGUAGUAAGCGGCAUCCCCUCUGAGUUGUGAGUAAGCGGAACCAUUCUGUUUUUGUUCUUCUCCAGAUUCUGACCGGUAGGAAUUUGCCUAUGAUUUUUCCAACUGAUAUGUCGAUAUAGAAAGAUCUCCUUAUUUCUUCACCGCGGGUUCUCGCGUCAUUUUCUUUAAAAGAUAUUAGAUCACCAUGGGAAACUUUAAAAUGAGUAAUGGUUACCAGUCCAUUAUUCAAACAAACCCUUCGAUGACUUAUCGGCUGCCUUGCUUGAGGAAGAGUGUCACUAAAACGGAGACGAACCGGAAUCACGUCCGAUCUUGUUUCUUGAUUGAGUAAAAAAGGGAUAUAUGAAGUUCGUUCUCUUCCUCUGUGCAUCUCCCUUAUGGGUAAAUCCCCAUAAUAAAGGGACAACUUUCGUGUAGUUUGUGAUUUGAUGUUACUGUUUAGAUUUUCUCUCUGAGAAAGAUUUCUUUUAAUGGAUCUCCUCUUGUUCCUCAAUCUUCGGAGAAUGCGGCGUUGGAUUAGAGAAAGUUCUCUGUUCCGAACAUUUCCUGGAAGUAGACGGCACGUUUUAAAUCUUAAUGCAGGCAUAUUUCGUUGAAUCAGUCUUUUUCGCCACAUCGCGUAUAAAGGGAAUCGAACCCAACUCUUCCACGAACCCCCCACGAAUGGUCCUCCCUUAACUCAAUGAACUUUGAGAAUUCCUUUGCCUAGUUUUUUUCUUUUCAGUUCUCAUAAGUCCUUGAUAUACUAGCCUCAAUACUUGACCGACUGCGUCACAGUGCUCAGGUAAAGUGGCAGUGGUUGAAAGCGAGCGGAAACGUCAGUGUUUUCUGUGCGUUACGAUAGUAGUGGUGAAAGAAAAUCCAAUUCAAAUAUCUCAACGUAAAAGGAAAAUCGUUUCACUUUGAUUUGAAAAGAAAGACUCCAGCUAGCUAUAUGAGAUCGAACUUCUUCCAUCACUCUAUCUACGAUAUUCAUUGCACCAUGAUUGAAGGCCUACGCAUCUUCUUUCGGGUAUUUCUUAUUGGUUGACAUAAAUUAUAGACACCGUGGGGACGUCAUCUAGACAAAAAGGGAAACGAUUUAUGAUAGAUUACCAUCAAUCCCAUCUUAUGGUGUUACACCCAUGGACUAAAGAUACUAGUCUUCCUACAUUGCAUCUAUUGGGUUGAGAGAGGAUCUCCUUUCUCCUAAAAAUCCUCCUUGUCCAUGAUACUUACUUGCAAUCAAUUCAUAGUCUUCCCAAGUAGCUUCUAGGUUGGACCAAUGAAUGAGCACUUGUGGUACCGCUGCAUUUCUGGAACGGCUACUGCCUACAUAACUUGUCUUCCUCUUUUCAAGGAAGUCAGUAUCAGACCAUAUGUAGUUCUCGUCUCGAGGGUCUUACUUCCUUUUUCCCGGACCAAAGAAAAGAGAUAAUUUAUUAGCCUUCUCACAUGGACAUAAAGACACGAGUUAAUCAUUCGCAUGCAGCCUCACAUAAACAACAAAUAACAAGCGCAUGCAGCCUCACAUAAACAACAAAUAACAACGCGCACAAGCUUAACACUCAUAUAUUUUUUUAGAUAAUAUGGACAUAAGAUUCCCCUCUUACCCCUAACUAACGAUUAUGCUGCUCUCGUCCUGUUUUUCCAUACUUCCCGCAGCGCAAGAAAAAGAAAAACUAGAAAUAGGAACAAACCGAGACCGAGAGCGAGAGCGAGAGGGUGAAUGCCAAAUUGAUCCAAAGGACUCUCCGCUAAAUGCAUCGCAGCGAAAUUUGCCGCUAAAUUCUCAUUCGCUAGCUCAGCUAUUCCGUACUUGAAGGCUUCACUUUCAGUGCCAUUUGCUACUAAAUCCCGGAGCUGUGAUCGAAGAAAUCCUAUAUUAGCACUCCCCCCAUGUAUUCGUUCGGCUGCAACUAGAAUCUCUUGGUGAUCCCUGCCGGGCAUUAAUUUGGCCAUUUCCUCGCGUAUAGCCCCUUGAUAUUCUACGACCCUUUCAUCGGUCGGGUUUGGGGAUGGCCGAUUUACGGACGAAGAGGAAGAGGGAGUACCACUGUCCGUUAAGAAUACUCCUUUCACGGAAGAAGGGGAUGGCUGGUUCACAGAAAAGGAUGCUAAUGGCGAGGGUUGAUUGACAGAGGAAGAGGAUGCUAAUGGCGAUGGUUGAUUGACAGAGGAAGAGGACGAGGGAGUCCCAAAAGAAAUGAAUCCUUCUGAAGAAGAAGGACUAUGAGAGUGUAGACUAGAAUUGCAAGACAAAAAAGACGAUGAACUGGUGCUACUGGCACUCCCUCCCGAAAGAUCACCCAUUUUAUUUCUGAUAUCCAACAUGAGAAGAUCUUCUGGUCUAGAAUUAGUCGUUUUUUGCAUUUCUUUAUUUGGUUGGGAAAGGAAAGAAGAGAUCGCGAACCGCGCCCACACAAUCUCUUACACAGCAACACUGCUUGUCAAGUUAAGUAGCGACCUGCAUACAGGGGACCCCCUCGUGCCCCACCCCAAGGGCUGACUCUUCUUUCAUUACAUACGAUUUUUGUUACUGAUCAAAUUUGAUUAAUGGAUGUCUCAGAAGACAGGCUUUCUCCGACAAGAAAGAUGAGAGGAACCGUGGAGUUGGACCAAUACGUUGGAAUAGAUAGCUCUGUUGCUUACUUUCAAGCUUUAGAUAGCUCUGUUUGUUACAAGCAAAGAAGAAAAGAUAUAGCUUUAGUUUUACACCAGCUACGCCCUUCCCCAUUGCAACGUUGUUGGUUUUCGUUUUAUUUUUGGAUCCAUGCAAGCCAUUUCCUGUUGAUAGGAAGGCAGAGUAACAAGUUGAUUUCGAGUACCAUACCUCCUUUCCGGUUCACAGACAGAUCGAGGGUCACACCUUACACUUGCGUCACCUGCCUGCCCUUCUCGGUUUAAUUGAAUAAGACCUAGGACCAAGGAUGCAUUUUUUGAAUGGAGUCUUCUCUCUAAAUAUUUCCGGGAAAUAUACCGGGUCAAACCUUCCGAGCUAACUGGACCCUACCCUUUUUCAGAGAAUCAUUCCUCCCCCACUCUCUGCCCUUCUAAAAAGAAAAUGCAUUCCUUCGCACUGUGCUUGACUUUCGCUCUUAUAGCACUCUUUUCCUUAAUGCCUGUUGGCUCUAGCACUGUGCUCUUUGCUUCUAGUCUCGCUAGCUAUGAAACUUCCACUGAAAAAGAAGAAUUUCCACGCCCACCAACUGCAGAAGCUCAAUCAAUGGCCACUACCGACAAGGGGACAAUAGAGCUGCAUUGAACACGCAUCCAGCACCUCGAGUCACUACCAACCAGAAAACGAGCGAUAUAGGAGGUAGACUGCCCGCUCCACAACGAGUGAAGAGUGCCGUAGAGCUGGAGACAUAUCCUUCCUGAAAGCCAAUCGAUCUGAUCUGUUGGAUAGUGCCUGAAAAGCUAUUCCUCGCUAGCGCUGUCUUGUCUGUUCCUGUUCUGGAUUGGGGCACGGGCUUUCUGUAGAUUGGGAAUUGCUGCUUCAACAAUAGGAGCACAGGGCUAACGCCUCUUUGUUUAGGUUUUAGAAAAGUAGAAAGGAGAAAAUUGGACUUUCAGAACUAAUAACUAUAUUCUUUGUCUGAUUUCUUUAAUUGUCCGAGUUCUCUCAUUAAUGAGUUGGCUCGGCCAUCAUCAAGUAGUGAAUCCCCUCUCGGGGAAGUCCCAUUUCUUUCUGAACGGGAGUCGGAGUUUCUACAAAUUGUAUUGGAAGUGGUAUUUGUAGAUUGUGUCAGUGUUUAGCCAAGAUGUCUCCCUUUGCGAAACGAAUCCAAGGGCGGAGUGUUAUCGCUUGCGUCGGUCCCACCCACCCUUGGGAGGGCCCGCCGGCCUUAUCCUUAUCCUUAUAGUGAUCUCGCUUUGAAAAGAGGACUUUCAUAACAAGUGGAGUCGUCUUGUGGGUAUCAACAAGAAAAACCCUUCUCACAUAAGAGCUCAAGAAUAGAUGCCUUGCCCCGAGAACAGGGAUUUGAACCAUUGGACUUUUCUAGCUGUCCUGCCACUGGGUUCCAAGUUCGUACGUAGUCUAGUCCAUUUCUAGGCAGGAAUUGCAUUUUAUGACAUUGGCCCGUUCCUCAAUACAAUAGUUCCGUAGUGCCAGGUGGGAAGCAUCCUUCUUUGAAUAUGAUGAUGGGCUCCCCGGUUUCAAAGAUAAUAAACCUAUAGUUAUAUUACUUGCGUGUUGGUAAGGCGGCUAAGGUUCUUACGUAUCAUAGUUUAGUUCCUUGUUUGUCUAAGAGGAGUUCAUAUAGCCAGUCCAGUAUGGAACCAGAUCCGGAUAUCCGUACUUUUGGUGGUGCGGUUCAGAGCAGAGGAGAGGUUCGGUAGGUUGACAAGAAAGUGCGCCGCUAGCUUUUGUGUGUUCACACAAGGUCAGAAGGAACCUCCGAGUGGAUCCAACAAAGAAUCGAUUCUAUGCCUUCUCUUUCAGUGUUCGUAGGGCUGGAAAUUAUACACGCUGGUAACUAGUAAGCUGGAAUAGUCAGGUUAGGAAUGGAAAAGAAGGAAGGAGGAAGCGAGUUCUCUACUCUAGUGAAGCUAGUGCUAGUUCUGUACUCUAGUUCAGUCCCCAAGGCGCGAGUGAAGCCCUUCUCCAUACCUUCGAUAAACUACUUGCCUCAUGGAAGUUCAAGUUCUCUUUCAUAGAAUGACUGGCUUUACAUAUCUCCUUAUUCGUAGGAAAUGAAUGGGCAGCAACUUAGAACCGAAACCGGAAGGCAAGAAACCGAGCUAUUCAAGAGAGAUCCGGCACAUCACAAGAUAACGAAACAACUUGGAAAGCUAGUUCGGAAAGUUCACCUAUGAAAGCCCUACUCAAUAUUGCCUCGGGCCAGGUCAAUAGAUGAACACAUAGAAGUGAGUAGAAAAAGCAAACUUUAGUGAAUGAAUGCGAUCUAGACCCUGCAACUAGACCGAGCAAGAGGAAAGGAAUGCGAUCCUCAAAUAAAAGAAUCUAUCUAGCACUAGCAGCAAGGAAUGAGAUAGAACCUCGAGCAAGAGAUAUGAGCGUUGAUCUGAUCUUAUGAGAAUACUGCGGCACUCUUUUGGUUCUUCUGAUUUCUAGUCUAGUUUCCUUUCCUUAAGGGACAGGGCGGCGUAGAGCUGAGGAGAGAGACAGAUGGAUGGCAGAUGUGAAUGAAUUGCAAUAUGCAUGCUGCCUGCCACCGAGGAGUAGUAGUAUUGAUGCCAGUGUGGAAGAGUUCGCUGGAUCAUUCUACCGGAGUCAAUCAGUUUGAUUCGUAACAAAUGAGAUUAGUUCACGUAUAACGAGCAUAAAGACGAAUCUAACCGCUAGUUACUCUACUCAUUGGCUCCAUCCCGUUUUUGAGGCCUUCUCUUUUUCGUGAUCUGGGCCAUAAAUCAAUGGUGCCGCAGUCUAUGAAGCAAGAAUGGCCAAUGACAUACGCUAUGGAAGCCGUAAACCUGGAUUGGAAAGCGGAGAUUCUUCUGAGAGAACUGGAACUCUGACCCAAGGCAAGACUUGACUUCUCUGAUCAUCCCUUCCCUGGCGCCUGAGCCCGGCAAUAACAAUAGCAGACAGGUCAGUUGUUCAAGUCCGUCUGGUUGAUAGGUCAGCUCAGUAUAGAAUCUUGUAUGGUAGUCCAGUAAUGACCAGGCAAGUGAACCGGCUUGAGAGACGUAAGAACCGGGAGAACACAGGACGCACGGAAAACUUUCCUGCUCGAGUAACAGAGUCUUGGCUGGCGGAGUUGGAGAAGGGGCACCGACCAGAAGCUAGACAGAAGAAUGACCUUAUUUUCCUUUACUCUCCAUUCCAUUUGUCCUUCAACCGGAUUAAUGGUCAACGACAUUUACAGCCUUUCCUUCACACAAGGUUUUUAAUCCAUCUCCCCUGCUUAGGACAGUAAGGGGAAGUAGCGAUAUUCCGAUUCCUUCGUGGGGAAUCAACGAAGGGUCCAGCUGCUUUAGUACUUAAGUUAACGCCCCAGCCCUUAUCCAGAAGGUAGAUGCGGUAAGCCAACUCCUAUCCUUCUUGCGGAAAGGGCAUUCAAUGCCAUCUGAAUUCCCUUCCUUGCUUCGAGGAGCAGGUCGAAUAGUCAAAGAAGGGGAUGGCUAAUUCCAGGAAUAGAGUAGCAUUCUCAGGCACUACCCUCAGUUGCAGCCUCAGUCCAUAUAAAACAGUCAAUCUACCAGCAGCAGAGGCUGCAGAUACAUGUCCACCACCUGUUUAUCUACUACCAUAAGCGGGAGCAGUUGCAGGUAAAGAGUGUUGUGAGGGCUUUCAUUUGCGCGUUAAGGGCAGUUUCUGUUAUAGCACUAGAAAUCAGUGCCGUUAGUCCCUUCUCGAACAGCAGUUUUAGCAAUUGAAUCAGCUGUUUCCUAAUAGACUAGGCUGUUAGCAGGAUUUGCAGGCGAGACAGAUGAGGAGGCAUAGAAGGAGCAAUUCCAUUAUGUGCUAAAGGCUGCGGAAUAAGAGCUCUUAGUCCUUUCGGCGUAGAGAACGAAUCCUCUGUUGCAAGAAGAAGGGCAAUGCCGAUUGUAAGGUUAAGUAUUACGUACGUCAAAACCAGUCAGUGACUCAUUUAAGUGUUGUGCGAAAAGGUAGCCUUUUGGCAACUGCAACCAUCCAUAGCGAGCGACGGAAGAUCAAUAGGCUGUUUUUUCAUAAGUUGAUAAAAGGAGAGAGCAGCUUAAUGAGAGAAGUAGCAGUGAGGGCGCUAAGCAGGUGUCAAGUUAAUUGGUCUGAGAGCCAAGCCAGCUUUCAAUUUCAAGUAGUAAAAAGCAGGCAUUAAAGUAGGUGAGUAAGUCAAGUUCUCUAUAUGCUUGAAGCUGAUACGCGCCUUUGUUGCCUUCUGUCUUCUUCCCUUUGGUAGUUCUGUUUCCAGCUGAGGAAUUGGAAUAAAUAAGUAAGGCUAACUAAAAGAGAGAAGAGGGUCUACAGUCAUUCUAUCUCAACACUGAAGAAUAGAUUUGCCACCUGGCUCGCUUCAAUGGAUGAGUCGGGCUAGGGUGAUGACUCGGGCUCGGGAGUUUCCAGUGAAGGAAAAGUCUCGUAUUUCUUGAUCUAGUUCCUACCAUUUCUGAUCCGGAUCUAGCUAGAUGAGUAGUUAGUUUGGGAAACAAGGGUGCCGAGCUGAUGUGUUAUCAUAUCAUAUUUGAAAGGAAGUCAGCUAUUGAAUCAGCAACUAGUCUGGUGUUGAUACGCCGCGAUGCCUUUGCUUCACAAAAGACACAGUGAAAGAAGCCCACAUGCCCACUCUUCUUUCCCCCCUCACCUCAACCGUAUAGUAGAUGGGUUUGGGGGCCUCGGUUUCCUAUGCCUACACCAGUGAAUUUCUUUACCUCUUCGUACGCCUCCAAUCGCAGAUUUGAAUAAUCAAGUCGGUAUGGGGCUGCUGCCUUUUGUUACUCCGGAAAUAUUGGCUUCGCCUGUACAGAUUUUCUAGGGCCUGGGCGAUUUUUACCCGCUUCUCGGCGCUCGCCGUUUCAAGGUGAAGAUCCUCGUAAGUAGACGUAAUGUGCUCUCCCUAGGGUUCCUAUCUCGACAGGACCUUAGAACUGUUUUAAUUCUUUUCUUUAAGAACGCAAUGGAUGGUACUUCAGGUUGCGCCCCAUUUAUGGGCGGCUCUGACUCUUUGCCAUUGCGUCUUGGCGGGACACUUUUUUCCGCUUAUCAUCAUCCUCAGAAUUAGGCGUAGCGGAAGCACUCGACGAGGCCUCUACGACAGCAUGGGCUCUUCCCCGUUUCUGGCCGGACGAUUCCAUAAAUACUUUGGUCAGAAGUAAGACCAAACCGAGAGUGAGUAGCAUAGACAUAGACAAGGAUAGAUUUGUGAAUGAGACAUAGUACUCACCAAUAUUCAGAUCCAGAAUUGGGUGAAUUCCAAAUUGAUAUUGAUCCAACGGGCUGUUGAGAUUAGGUAGGUUACCAAAAUACCCUCUGCCUUGUUGGGCAAUCAAGUAGUCCCAGUUGCCCUCGGCAGACAUUCGGGCGUGCAGAUCUUGUAUUCUCUGACCAAAACAACUACGUCCCUGAGGUGUGUGAAUCUCCUCGAGUAAGGACGCCAAAAAGCGUCGUAGUCCGCAAUCGCACUCUCACGCGCGAUACCAGAGAAUAGAUUCACACGGAAAGCGCUUAUUUCCUGUACUGACGGGAGAUUCAGGUUCCUCUCACGCAAGAUACCUUCCAUUUCUCUAAAUAAGGGGAGGGCUCGGAGUACCCUAUGCACAUCCUCCACCGAUUCCGAUUCUCGAUUUAGUGGGAUUCCAGGCAUCCCACGAGUUGCAAUCAUAAUGGGUUUACUACUUGAUAAUAGCAUUUUUCUAUCCGUUAAUAAAAAUAUCAUCGUACUUGACAAUUCCAUCUUUUUCAGCUCUGCUCCCCAAAGAGAAAGGAGACUAGACUGAUCCAUUCUUGACGUCGGCGUUGGUUUUCCAACGAAACGAAAAAAAGAACAUUCGAACAAAUAGACUUGAUUCCAUUACAAAACAAAAAUGCUAGUUCUAACGAACAGCGUUUGUCCCAUCGACUUUACUUUGGCCAAUGAUACUACUACUACUAUAUACUAUAUACUAUAUACUAUAUACUAUAUACUAUAUACUAUAUACUAUACGCGUUUUCUGAGGAGCAACAUGAGACUUGAUUUUCCUAUAGUCUGGCUACUAUACUAUACUAUAGAACCCUGGGCCAUGUUUCCCGAGAGAGACUGCCUUCUCUCAGGCCAGCAGUCUUAUACUUAUAGUCGACUGCUCUAUGACGAUCUGACCUCUUUCCUGGGCUCUGCUCGCUCGUCUACGCUCCGACCAAUUCAGUCAAAAUCGAAAAAACGAUGUUUCGUCUAAGAAUAAGAAAUAGUAGUAGUAGUAAAAAAGUGCACUUUUUCCAUAUAUUUCGAGGGAUCCCUAUCUUUAUCUCUAUCCACAGAGAUACCUAUCUAUUCUAUUCUAUAUAGAGAGAGAUUUUUCUAAAAAUUGAUCUAGACUAUCCUCUCCUCUAUCCGGAUAGAUAUGUCCCUAUGAGCGACUAGGCCGAUCUUUUUUUAUAUGUUUUGGCCACGUCCGUUUCCGCUCCGAAGAGAAGGUUUGGAUCUUUCAAUCUUAUGUCGUGAGGGAUGUGACCUAUGUUAGGUCCAUAAGAUACCACAGUCUUUAGUGUUCUAUGAUUCACCUCCGAAUAAUGAGUAGGUAGUUCGAUCCUUUUGAUUCUUAUCUUCCUAGUAAUAGUAAACGGGGAUCCGGAGCAAUAGGUCGAAUUUCUAUAUAAUUUGUUGUGUAAACAAAAGGGCUUAUUGCUCUUUUUCGGUUUUCGUUUUCCUCGAUAACUUUGAGAUCUCCUCUACCCCUUCCUCUUCCUCCUUCCUUCUUUUCCAUAAGAAGAAGUAUUUGAAAUGAAACAAAUUCCUCUUCAUUCUGUUGUGCUCAGCGAAGGAACUGCCUAAGCAUACUUUUGCGGAUCCAAACUUCUUUGUUCUUUCUAAGUCUUCUUCUUGCAUAUAAGAACGCAACUCUUGCAAAAACCCGGAUUUUAGUAGUAAGCGGCAUCCCCUCUGAGUUGUGAGUAAGCGAACCAUUCUGUUUUUGUUCUUCUCCAGAUUCUGACCGGUAGGAAUUUGCCUAUGAUUUUUCCAACUGAUAUGUCGAUAUAGAAAGAUCUCCUUAUUUCUUCACCGCGGGUUCUCGCGUCAUUUUCUUAAAAAAUAUUAGAUCACCAUGGGAAACUUUAAAAUGAGUAAUGGUUACCAGUCCAUUAUUCAAACAAACCCUUCGAUGACUUAUCGGCUGCCUUGCUUGAGGAAGAGUGUCACUAAAACGGAGACGAACCGGAAUCACGUCCGAUCUUGUUCUUUGAUUGAGUAAAAAAGGGAUAUAUGAAGUUCUUCUCUUCCUCUGUGCAUCUUCCUUAUGGGUAAAUCCCCAUAAUAAAGGACAACUUUCGUGUAGUUUGUGAUUUGAUGUUACUGUUUAGAUUUUCUCUCUGAGAAAGAUUUCUUUUAAUGGAUCUCCUCUUGUUCCUCAAUCUUCGGAGAAUGCGGCGUUGGAUUAGAGAAAGUUCUCUGUUUCCGAACAUUUCCUGGAAGUAGACGGCACGUUUUAAAUCUUAAUGCAGGCAUAUUUCGUUGAAUCAGUCUUUUUCGCCACAUCGCGUAUAAAGGGAAUCAACCCAACUCUUCCACGAACCCCCCACGAAUGGUCCUCCCUUAACUCAAUGAACUUUGAGAAUUCCUUUGCCUAGUUUUUUUCUUUUCAGUUCUCAUAAGUCCUUGAUAUACUAGCCUCAAUACUUGACCGACUGCGUCACAGUGCUCAGGUAAAGUGGCAGUGGUUGAAAGCGAGCGGAAACGUCAGUGUUUUCUGUGCGUUACGAUAGUAGUGGUGAAAGAAAAUCCAAUUCAAAUAUCUCAACGUAAAAGGAAAAUCGUUUCACUUUGAUUUGAAAAAAGACUCCAGCUAGCUAUAUGAGAUCGAACUUCUCAUCACUCUAUCUACGAUAUUCAUUGCACCAUGAUUGAAGGCCUACGCAUCUUCUUUCGGGUAUUUCUUAUUGGUUGACAUAAAUUAUAGACACCGUGGGGACGUCAUCUAGACAAAAAGGGAAACGAUUUAUGAUAGAUUACCAUCAAUCCCAUCUUAUGGUGUUACACCCAUGGACUAAAGAUACUAGUCUUCCUACAUUGCAUCUAUUGGGUUGAGAGAGGAUCUCCUUUCUCCUAAAAAUCCUCCUUGUCCAUGAUACUUACUUGCAAUCAAUUCAUAGUCUUCCCAAGUAGCUUCUAGGUUGACCAAUGAAUGAGCACUUGUGGUACCGCUGCAUUUCUGGAACGGCUACUGCCUACAUAACUUGUCUUCCUCUUUUCAAGGAAGUCAGUAUCAGACCAUAUGUAGUUCUCGUCUCGAGGGUCUUACUUCCUUUUUCCCGGACCAAAGAAAAGAGAUAAUUUAUUAGCCUUCUCACAUGGACAUAAAGACACGAGUUAAUCAUUCGCAUGCAGCCUCACAUAAACAACAAAUAACAAGCGCAUGCAGCCUCACAUAAACAACAAAUAACAACGCGCACAAGCCUAAACAUCAUAUAUUUUUUUAGAUAAUAUGGACAUAAGAUUCCCCUCUUACCCCUAACUAACGAUUAUGCUGCUCUCGUCCUGUUUUUCCAUACUUCCCGCAGCGCAAGAAAAAAGAAAAACUAGAAAUAGGAACAAACCGAGACCGAGAGCGAGAGCGAGAGGGUGAAUGCCAAAUGAUCCAAAGGACUCUCCGCUAAAUGCAUCGCAGCGAAAUUUGCCGCUAAAUUCUCAUUCGCUAGCUCAGCUAUUCCGUACUUGAAGGCUUCACUUUCAGUGCCAUUUGCUACUAAAUCCCGAGCUGUGAUCGAAGAAAUCCUAUAUUAGCACUCCCCCCAUGUAUUCGUUCGGCUGCAACUAGAAUCUCUUUGUGAUCCCUGCCGGGCAUUAAUUUGGCCAUUUCCUCGCGUAUAGCCCCUUGAUAUUCUACGACCCUUUCAUCGGUCGGGUUUGGGGAUGGCCGAUUUACGGACGAAGAGGAAGAGGGAGUACCACUGUCCGUUAAGAAUACUCCUUUCACGGAAGAAGGGGAUGGCUGGUUCACAGAAAAGGAUGCUAAUGGCGAGGGUUGAUUGACAGAGGAAGAGGAUGCUAAUGGCGAUGGUUGAUUGACAGAGGAAGAGGACGAGGGAGUCCCAAAAGAAAUGAAUCCUUCUGAAGAAGAAGGACUAUGAGAGUGUAGACUAGAAUUGCAAGACAAAAAAGACGAUGAACUGGUGCUACUGGCACUCCCUCCCGAAAGAUCACCCAUUUUAUUUCUGAUAUCCAACAUGAGAAGAUCUUCUGUCUAGAAUUAGUCGUUUUUUGCAUUUCUUUAUUUGGUUGGGAAAGGAAAGAAGAGAUCGCGAACCGCGCCCACACAAUCUCUUACACAGCAACACUGCUUGUCAAGUUAAGUAGCGACCUGCAUACAGGACCCCCUCGUGCCCCACCCCAAGGGCUGACUCUUCUUUCAUUACAUACGAUUUGUUUACUGAUCAAAUUUGAUUAAUGGAUGUCUCAGAAGACAGGCUUUCUCCGACAAGAAAGAUGAGAGGAACCGUGGAGUUGGACCAAUACGUUGGAAUAGAUAGCUCUGUUGCUUACUUUCAAGCUUUAGAUAGCUCUGUUUGUUACAAGCAAAGAAGAAAAAUAUAGCUUUAGUUUUACACCAGCUACGCCCUUCCCCAUUGCAACGUUGUUGGUUUUCGUUUUAUUUUUGGAUCCAUGCAAGCCAUUUCCUGUUGAUAGGAAGGCAGAGUAACAAGUUGAUUUCGAGUACCAUACCUCCUUUCGCGUUCACAGACAGAUCGGGGUCACACCUUACACUUGCGUCACCUGCCUGCCCUUCUCGGUUUAAUUGAAUAAGACCUAGGACCAAGGAUGCAUUUUUUGAAUGGAGUCUUCUCUCUAAAUAUUUCCGGGAAAUAUACCGGGUCAAACCUUCCGAGCUAACUGGACCCUACCCCUUUCAGAGAAUCAUUCCUCCCCCACUCUCUGCCCUUCUAAAAAGAAAAUGCAUUCCUUCGCACUGUGCUUGACUUUCGCUCUUAUAGCACUCUUUUCCUUAAUGCCUGUUGGCUCUAGCACUGUGCUCUUUGCUUCUAGUCUCGCUAGCUAUGAAACUUCCACUGAAAAAGAAGAAUUUCCACGCCCACCAACUGCAGAAGCUCAAUCAAUGGCCACUACCGACAAGGGGACAAUAGAGCUGCAUUGAACACGCAUCCAGCACCUCGAGUCACUACCAACCAGAAAACGAGCGAUAUAGGAGGUAGACUGCCCGCUCCACAACGAGUGAAGAGUGCCGUAGAGCUGAGACAUAUCCUUCCUGAAAGCCAAUCGAUCUGAUCUGUUGGAUAGUGCCUGAAAAGCUAUUCCUCGCUAGCGCUGUCUUGUCUGUUCCUGUUCUGGAUUGGGGCACGGGCUUUCUGUAGAUUGGGAAUUGCUGCUUCAACAAUAGGAGCACAGGGCUAACGCCUCUUUGUUUAGGUUUUAGAAAAGUAGAAAGGAGAAAAUUGGACUUUCAGAACUAAUAACUAUAUUCUUUGUCUGAUUUCUUUAAUUGUCCGAGUUCUCUCAUUAAUGAGUUGGCUCGGCCAUCAUCAAGUAGUGAAUCCCCUCUCGGGGAAGUCCCAUUUCUUUCUGAACGGGAGUCGGAGUUUCUACAAAUUGUAUUGGAAGUGGUAUUUGUAGAUUGUGUCAGUGUUUAGCCAAGAUGUCUCCCUUUGCGAAACGAAUCCAAGGGCGGAGUGUUAUCGCUUGCGUCGGUCCCACCCACCCUUGGGAGGGCCCGCCGGCCUUAUCCUUAUCCUUAUAGUGAUCUCGCUUUGAAAAGAGGACUUUCAUAACAAGUGGAGUCGUCUUGUGGGUAUCAACAAGAAAAACCCUUCUCACAUAAGAGCUCAAGAAUAGAUGCCUUGCCCGAGAACAGGGAUUUGAACCAUUGGACUUUUCUAGCUGUCCUGCCACUGGGUUCCAAGUUCGUACGUAGCUAGUCCAUUUCUAGCAGGAAUUGCAUUUUAUGACAUUGGCCCGUUCCUCAAUACAAUAGUUCCGUAGUGCCAGGUGGGAAGCAUCCUUCUUUGAAUAUGAUGAUGGGCUCCCCGGUUUCAAAGAUAAUAAACCUAUAGUUAUAUUACUUGCGUGUUGGUAAGGCGGCUAAGGUUCUUACGUAUCAUAGUUUAGUUCCUUGUUUGUCUAAGAGGAGUUCAUAUAGCCAGUCCAGUAUGGAACCAGAUCCGGAUAUCCGUACUUUUGGUGGUGCGGUUCAGAGCAGAGGAGAUCGGUGUAGGUUGACAAGAAAGUGCGCCGCUAGCUUUUGUGUGUUCACACAAGGUCAGAAGGAACCUCCGAGUGGAUCCAACAAAGAAUCGAUUCUAUGCCUUCUCUUUCAAAAUGGGAAGUAUUAUGAAGUUUAAGUCAUGUGCUGUAGUUAAUUCCCUUUGUCUUAAGUGAUCUAUUAGAGAGCUUCCCUGUGACCGCCCGAAGGGUAAGAAAGAGAUGCUCUGUGUAGCUAACCCCAAGUCUGGUAACCUUUGAAAAUAGGUUUCUGACGUCACUGCCUUUCAUGCCAAGCUUGACGCUCUUGCUCUUGCACAGGCGGCGGGUGGAUCAAUUUGUGUAAACGAUCGCUUUCUUUCUAUGUCUCCCAAUCGAUGCGGUACUGCCAAUCGUAGACUGGUGACCGGGGAAUGAGAGCUCCAUACACCAUGAUUCAUGGAGUCUUCCUCUCGUUUUUAGGUUGUUUGUGUAUAUACCCAACUGUAGGUCACCUAUGUGACCAAUCCUCACCAUUGGUUUCACAGCACUUAGUAAGCAUACGUUUGAAGACCGAGUUGGUUGAUUUGGUCUGUCCAUUCGCUCUAGGAGGGGCUCGACUUCCUUUGAGCUAUGAGAAAUGGGAGCGCCUUCUUCUUUUUUUUCAGGGAUCUCCUUGGCUACAAAGAGAGCUAUGGAGCCUAGAUGAAAGCUUGACAAGGCCUAUUUAGUGUAUUCGGCCACCCAACCACUCGCAGAAAGAAAGGGGCAUUCAAAACUUGACAGGGAUUCCUUCUCCUAGGGUUGCUCUGAGGUAACCGCUCGUCUUGAUGCUGGCAGUCAAGAAGGCAAAGAGUUGACUUCUACUUUUGAAGUGUAAGGAGUUGACCUUCCUUCACCUAUCUCGGAUUCUGCUACAGAUUGGAACAAUAGUUCACAUUCGCUUGGGAAUACCAAAUAGAAUGCAGUCGAGACAACCACAAGUAGAGGAACGACCGACACAGCUGGCAUGCCCCCGCAACCUUCGAUCCAUCUAUCUAAACAUCGUUCUACUACAGAACUGAGUUCAUCAUAGCAGCCAGCCUCGGUAAGGUUAACUAGCAACUUGACUCACUGCACUCGAAAAAGAUAGCAAAGCGACAAUCGGUCGGUAUGGGUGGAACCUAGUAUAGCUGCGCUUUCUUUUCUUCUUCUUGGUCUAGUCUAUCUACCCGUCUCUAAGUAAGCCCCUCACCUUCCCUUUUUGGAGUAGAGGUCAGAGGCUAGUGCGGGUAGCCCUGUCGGAAACUAGAAAGAAGAGGUUGAUGCACCUGCCCGGCGGUGGGUGGGUUCAGCUCGAUCAACUGGGAUAGGAGUUUUUUCUCUAUCUUGCUCCAUGGUGUUCAAGCAGUGCGUCCAGAAAGCUGUGAUUCAUGGGAGGGAGCAGCUUCAAUAGCUUUGGCUGUAAAAACUCUUGGUCUUGGAGCAUCAGUGUCAUCAGUUCACCCAAGAUCAGCACAGGACAAAUAACUACUAGGUUUGUGCCAGAAAAGCGUCUUGCGUGACGGGGAAAGAGUGGAAAAAGAAAGAGAUUCAUCAGCUAUGGAAUCUGACAGGUAUCGGUAUUGAACAGAGGGGGCUGUUCACAAAGCAUCCCAUGGUGCGCUCCGAGGAGGGGAAAAAAGAUACCACACACAAUUCUAAAACUCGAAAUUCGUUCCUAGAAAUCCGUGAAAUCAUUGUUCUGGGUCACCUUGGCUUUUGUGUUCCGUAGUGACUAGGGGAAGUUGCCCGGCUUGGUAUCUCUCCUACUUCUUGACCUUGCUUCUCACCAUUAGGGGAUAGAGUCUAGUAGUUCCUUCCAUGCCAAGGAAACUUCUAUCGAUUGGCGCCGUUGGUUGGAAAUUUGCAUAGCAUUCCCACGCCUCGUUCUUCAUCAGCUUGGUGCCGCUUCAAUUACGAGGUCUGUCAGCUUCCAUCUCCCGAUGUUGCUACUCGUAUCCAUUCCUCCCUGGAACCUGUUGCGAAGAGCUUGCAAAGGUGCCAAGGUUGCCUGAAUCGAAUCAAAUAAGAUCUCUGCCUUCUUGACUAGCUAUUCGUGCUGCUCCGCUAGCUGGUGACUUGUCUGUCCCCUCAUACAUACUUACUUAGGUCUAGACCCCUAUUCGCUGACCACCGGGCUCCAUCUUUCUAGUAGCAAGAAAAAGCCUAUACUACUUCUGAUUCCAUACGACGCAUACCUCUAGAGUGUAGCAGUGACUUCUUUCUCUCUCUAGUUUAGCAGUGACUUCUUUCUCUCUCGGUGAUCCCUUGGUUGGAUACUAUUUGCAUGUUGACUAGUGGGAAUUCCAGCUAUCCCUUUCCAACAACUAGACAAGUUCGGUGCAUCUAGACUUUCUUUUUUACCGAUAUACUGAACCUAUUCCUCUCAAGCCAACCGAUUCAAACUCGUAGAAUGACUUGACUUUCGAACAAGACUACGGCACUCCUUCCUCGAGAACUGCUUUCGCUUCCAGCUAUUUAAGGCAAGACAAGAGUGGAUCGGCUUUUCCUUGCUAUAGAGGAUUGAAGCUCUUUCCACACUGAAGAUCGGAUCCAUUCCAGCUUCACUUCAACCUUGCCAGCUCUAUUGCUGGGAUUCCAGAAGUUAUAUUAAUGGAUUUGCCACCUGGCUCGCUUCAAUGGAUGAGUCGGGCUAGGGUGAUGACUCGGGCUCGGGAGUUUCCAGUGAAGGAAAAGUCUCGUAUUUCUUGAUCUAGUUCCUACCAUUUCUGAUCCGGAUCUAGCUAGAUGAGUAGUUAGUUUGGGAAACAAGGGUGCCGAGCUGAUGUGUUAUCAUAUCAUAUUUGAAAGGAAGUCAGCUAUUGAAUCAGCAACUAGUCUGGUGUUGAUACGCCGCGAUGCCUUUGCUUCACAAAAGACACAGUGAAAGAAGCCCACAUGCCCACUCUUCUUUCCCCCCUCACCUCAACCGUAUAGUAGAUGGGUUUGGGGGGCCUCGGUUUCCUAUGCCUACACCAGUGAAUUUCUUUUUCGUAGGUGAUCCCGCUCCCAAUCGCAGAUUUGAAUAAUCAAGUCGGUAUGGGGCUGCUGCCUUUUGUUACUCCGGAAAUAUUGGCUUCGCCUGUACAGAUUUUCUAGGGCCUGGGCGAUUUUUACCCGCUUCUCGGCGCUCGCCGUUUCAAGGUGAAGAUCCUCGUAAGUAGAGCGUAAUGUGCUCUCCCUAGGGUUCCUAUCUCGACAGGACCUUAGAACUGUUUUAAUUCUUUUCUUUAAGAACGAAAUGGAUGGUACUUCAGGUUGCGCCCCAUUUAUGGGCGGCUCUGACUCUUUGCCAUUGGCGUCUUGGCGGGACACUUUUUUCCGCUUAUCGUCAUCCUCAGAAUUAGGCAUAGCGGAAGCACUCGACGAGGCCUCUACGACAGCAUGGGCUCUUCCCCGUUUCUGGCCGGACAAUUCCAUAAAUACUAAAGUCAGAAGUAAGACCAAACCGAGAGUGAGUAGCAUAGACAAGGAUAGAUUUGUGAAUGAGACAUAGUACUCACCAAUAUUAAUA
Molecule: long non-coding RNA, 36654 nt
Filed under: Zea mays
Lineage: Eukaryota; Viridiplantae; Streptophyta; Magnoliopsida; Poales; Poaceae
Source: RNAcentral